AACCAUAGAAACCUGCGGAGUACCUGCGGAAGGAUCAUUACCGAGUGAGGGCCCUCCGGGUCCAACCUCCCACCCGUGUUUAACGAACCUUGUUGCUUCGGCGGGCCCGCCUCACGGCCGCCGGGGGGCACCCCGCCCCCGGGCCCGCGCCCGCCGAAGACACCUGUGAACGCUGUCUGAAGUUGCAGUCUGAGACACUAGCUCAAUCAGUUAAAACUUUUAGCAAUGGAUCUCAGAUCG
RNAcentral lists this unclassified non-coding RNA (240 nucleotides) under soil metagenome. RNAcentral's name for it is "partial contains 5.8S ribosomal RNA, internal transcribed spacer 2, and large subunit ribosomal RNA". The record is from RNAcentral.